This 1473-nucleotide long non-coding RNA is filed under the name Equus asinus (donkey). RNAcentral describes it as "lncRNA (ENSEASG00005038055.1)". Lineage: Eukaryota; Metazoa; Chordata; Mammalia; Perissodactyla; Equidae. The record is from RNAcentral.
GUGGGGGCUGCCAGGCGAGGGCGCUUUCAUUCUGCUGCAGCCCAGCAAACCGGCCCUGUGCUGGGCACCGCCAAUCAUGACAUGCGUGUGGUCUUCCCUCACGGAGCUGACACAUAGUCACAAAGAGCCUGUGGCAUUUGGGGAAGCGCGUGUGGGGCGAGGACAGAGCUGGGAGAACGUGCAAGGCUGUGCAGCUGAGGGAUCUGACUCAGAGACAACUGCAGAAACCCGAGCGUGGAGGCGUGACAUGGGAGUCUGAGUGGCCACCUGUUGUGCAGAUCACACCAGCCGCUCCCGCGGUGGGACCAGGCGCUGGGUCAGGGUCAGCGACGGGAUGUGCAACAGAUAAUGCUUUGCAGCUCAUACGACACCCAAUCAGCAUGACCCCCAGGGGUCCUGGAGCCAGCUUGGGCUGGAGAGUGCCCCGGUGCCCAUCUCCUCCCACCUCCGCUCCCAGUGAUGGUAAAUCGGCUGCAUCUACUCCACGGAAAUUAACAAAUGCUACAGAUCAGUCCUGAGCCCUCUGAGGGCGGGUUGUUGCCCACGUGCCAGCACACCACUGAUUCACUAAAAAGUUAGGCCAAGUCUCCCCCAGACACCAUCUGGCCGGCAGGCCUCGCUGACCCUGCACCUUCACCGCCAGGACCCGGUGGCACCUGGCUUUCUGGAGCCCUUCUCGCCCGCCCCGCCGGCUCUCUCUGCUGGGAGGCGUGCUCCUGCAUUUCCCAGCUGGGAGCUGUCCUAGGAGAGUGGUCCAGAGAACCAGAGGCCGGCUGCACAGAAGACGCAUUCGCCUUGAGUGAUGAUUCACCUGCAGGUGCUUCAGAGCGUGGAGCCAAAAGAUAGAUUCACCCUUGGAGGGCAACGUUUGCUUGCAAUGUCUAGCUUUAUGGAGGAUAGAAACUGUGAAUUUUAAAAGCCAAGGACAGCACGUGGAAAAUCUGUGAAGCCCUUUCAUUCUCUUAUCUCCGAGGAGCUGGUGAGGAGAUGUUGAUAAACGGUGGAUUCAGACACAUGCAGCUCCUGGGCCAAUGGGAUCAUCCAGGCAGGCUUGGGGGCACCCUCUCUACUGGCAGCAAAUCAUUUCUGGGCUCAGCUGUUGCCAUCUUUGCUGCAGAACACAGCGGAGCCUGCGGUGAACAGAUUAGCUGAACUCCAAAGAUUGCACAUGCAUUUUCAUGGGCAUGGUUUUUCAAAAUACCCUUUUCACUGAAGAAUAACAUACAAACAGAGAAGUUCACAAAUCAUGAAUGUACAGCUUGAUGCAUUUACAAAAGGGGACACGCCCAUGAAACCACCAUCCAGAUGAAGACACAGAACAUUAACGGGGCCCCCCGAGCUCCCUGGUUCCCCUCCCCUCACUGAUGUCCUCAAAGGGAACCACUAUUCUGAGUCCCGUUACCAUCAAUGAGUUCCGUCUGGGUUUGAACUUUACAUAAACGAAAUCAUACAGUGCAUCCUCCUUUGUGUCUG